This 407-nucleotide ribosomal RNA is filed under the name uncultured bacterium. RNAcentral describes it as "bacterial SSU rRNA". It matches the Rfam family "Bacterial small subunit ribosomal RNA", at positions 355 to 776 of the family's 1533-position model. The record is from RNAcentral.
UGGGGAAUAUUGCACAAUGGGGGGAACCCUGAUGCAGCAACGCCGCGUGAAGGAGGAAGUAGUUCGCUAUGUAAACUUCUAUCGACAGGGACGAAAUAGAUGACGGUACCUGAAUAAGAAGCACCGGCUAAAUACGUGCCAGCAGCCGCGGUAAUACGUAUGGUGCAAGCGUUAUCCGGAUUUACUGGGUGUAAAGGGUGAGUAGGCGGUCAGGCAAGUCAUAUGUGAAAUUUCCAAGCUCAACUUGGGAGCUGCAUAAGAAACUGUCAGACUUGAGUACAGGAGAGGUAAGCGGAAUUCCCAGUGUAGCGGUGAAAUGCGUAGAUAUUGGGAAGAACACCGGUGGCGAAGGCGGCUUACUGGACUGUUACUGACGCUGAGUCACGAAAGCGUGGGGAGCGAACAGG